GGUCCCAUCGUCUAACGUGUGAGGACGCCGGCCUUCAAGUCGGAAACAUGGGUUCAACUCCCAUUGGGACCACCA
This 75-nucleotide transfer RNA is filed under the name Nitrospirota bacterium. RNAcentral's name for it is "Nitrospirae bacterium (hot springs metagenome) tRNA-OTHER". It matches the Rfam family "tRNA". Rfam says of the family: Transfer RNA (tRNA) molecules are approximately 80 nucleotides in length. Their secondary structure includes four short double-helical elements and three loops (D, anti-codon, and T loops). Lineage: Bacteria; Pseudomonadati; Nitrospirota. The record is from RNAcentral.